UACGAAGGGGGCUAGCGUUGUUCGGAAUUACUGGGCGUAAAGCGCACGUAGGCGGACUACUAAGUCAGGGGUGAAAUCCCGGGGCUCAACCCCGGAACUGCCUUUGAUACUGAUAGUCUCGAGUCCGGAAGAGGUGAGUGGAAUUCCGAGUGUAGAGGUGAAAUUCGUAGAUAUUCGGAGGAACACCAGUGGCGAAGGCGGCUCACUGGCCCGGUACUGACGCUGAGGAGCGAAAGCCAGGGGAGCAAACGGG
This 253-nucleotide ribosomal RNA is filed under the name uncultured bacterium. RNAcentral describes it as "partial 16S ribosomal RNA". It matches the Rfam family "Bacterial small subunit ribosomal RNA", at positions 524 to 776 of the family's 1533-position model. The record is from RNAcentral.